This 74-nucleotide transfer RNA is filed under the name Corynebacterium pseudotuberculosis. RNAcentral's name for it is "tRNA-Met". The record is from RNAcentral. Lineage: Bacteria; Bacillati; Actinomycetota; Actinomycetes; Mycobacteriales; Corynebacteriaceae.
GCUCGGAACGCAAAAGACCGCGAUAUGUCGCAGAAGCUCAAAAUGCACUUACAUUGGCAUGAAUUUGGCCCGCG